Molecule: long non-coding RNA, 35424 nt
Filed under: Ananas comosus (pineapple)
Lineage: Eukaryota; Viridiplantae; Streptophyta; Magnoliopsida; Poales; Bromeliaceae
Description: long non-coding RNA (ACOM_LNC029443)
Source: RNAcentral
AGCAAGUGUCAUCUAGUCAAAACGAACGACGCUAAGUUCAAUCUUUAACCAUAUAGGGCUAGGGUUGAAGAAAACUGACCGAUUGCGAAGGAAGCUCUCUCGAUCUCCAAAUGGGAGCUAGAGUCCUUCCAAUCUAACCUAAACAAAGGUUCUAAACCCAUCAAUUAGGUUCCAAAGCCCUCAAAUCAAAAAUCCCCAAAACUAACCCUAGAAUCCCAAUCUAGGGUUUCAUCUAGUAAAACCUAGAAAAACAUGUAUUAAAUGGGGAUUACAAGCUACCAACCUCAAGAGAAGCUUCAAUCCAAGCUCAAAACCAAGUAGGGUUGAAGUUGGAUCCUCCACAAAGCUUCAACCGCAAGCUCGAAGCCACCAAGGUGAGAAAAUGGGGAAGAAGAUGAUGCUCCAAAGCCUCCAAGCAAGCUCCUUCUCCUCUUCUUCUUCUUCUUCUUCUUUUCCCUCUCUUCCUCUCUCUAGAAUAGGUGGGAAGGGAAGGAAUGAGGAGUGAAGAUGGUGAAAUGGCCAUAUAGACCAUCUAAAGCAACAAAAUCCACUUUGGCCCCUCAAAAACUCAAAAUUACAUCAGCCCGGUCUGGGCAGUUUUCGCCCAGAGGGACCGGUCUCCCCGACUUGGGACCGGUCUCUCAGCCUGCCCCGAAAACCCAACGUUCGGGAACCGAUCUCUCCCUGCGCGGGACCGGUCUCUCCUCGCGCAGACGCGCUCGGGGACCGGUCUCGACUGCCAUGGACCGGUUGCCUCGCCGGCUGCGCAGCACUGCUCACUGGGGGACCGGUCUCUCCUAUCAGGGACCGGUCCCCGAGAGUAAAACUCUCAGGACUCAGCCAAAACUCUAGAAAUUGAACUUUUAGGCCGGUAUAUCAUCGACGGCCCUCCACCAAGUGUGGAAAAGUUCGGAACACAGAUCGAACACUUGAACCUCGCAAUUUGCAAAAGUCCAGUGUGCUACAUUCACCACAUUUCGAGAGUAGACCAGAAUAUCAUCGAUGAACACCACGACGAACCUGUCUAGAUAAGGCUUGAAAACACGGUUCAUUAGAUCCAUAAAAGCUGCCGGGGCAUUAGUAAGCCCGAACGGCAUAACUGUGAACUCGUAAUGUCCAUACCGUGUUCUGAAAGCCGUCUUCGAUACAUCCUCGGGUUUAAUCUUCAACUGGUGGUAUCCCGACUGCAAGUCUAUCUUGGAAUACACACACGACCCCUGAAGCUGAUCAAACAAGUCAUCGAUCCUUGGCAACGGAUACUUGUUCUUGAUCGUGACUUUGUUGAGUUCACGAUAAUCCACACAAAGGCGAAGCGAUCCGUCCUUNNNNNNNNNNNNNNNNNNNNNNNNNNNNNNNNNNNNNNNNNNNNNNNNNNNNNNNNNNNNNNNNNNNNNNNNNNNNNNNNNNNNNNNNNNNNNNNNNNNNNNNNNNNNNNNNNNNNNNNNNNNNNNNNNNNNNNNNNNNNNNNNNNNNNNNNNNNNNNNNNNNNNNNNNNNNNNNNNNNNNNNNNNNNNNNNNNNNNNNNNNNNNNNNNNNNNNNNNNNNNNNNNNNNNNNNNNNNNNNNNNNNNNNNNNNNNNNNNNNNNNNNNNNNNNNNNNNNNNNNNNNNNNNNNNNNNNNNNNNNNNNNNNNNNNNNNNNNNNNNNNNNNNNNNNNNNNNNNNNNNNNNNNNNNNNNNNNNNNNNNNNNNNNNNNNNNNNNNNNNNNNNNNNNNNNNNNNNNNNNNNNNNNNNNNNNNNNNNNNNNNNNNNNNNNNNNNNNNNNNNNNNNNNNNNNNNNNNNNNNNNNNNNNNNNNNNNNNNNNNNNNNNNNNNNNNNNNNNNNNNNNNNNNNNNNNNNNNNNNNNNNNNNNNNNNNNNNNNNNNNNNNNNNNNNNNNNNNNNNNNNNNNNNNNNNNNNNNNNNNNNNNNNNNNNNNNNNNNNNNNNNNNNNNNNNNNNNNNNNNNNNNNNNNNNNNNNNNNNNNNNNNNNNNNNNNNNNNNNNNNNNNNNNNNNNNNNNNNNNNNNNNNNNNNNNNNNNNNNNNNNNNNNNNNNNNNNNNNNNNNNNNNNNNNNNNNNNNNNNNNNNNNNNNNNNNNNNNNNNNNNNNNNNNNNNNNNNNNNNNNNNNNNNNNNNNNNNNNNNNNNNNNNNNNNNNNNNNNNNNNNNNNNNNNNNNNNNNNNNNNNNNNNNNNNNNNNNNNNNNNNNNNNNNNNNNNNNNNNNNNNNNNNNNNNNNNNNNNNNNNNNNNNNNNNNNNNNNNNNNNNNNNNNNNNNNNNNNNNNNNNNNNNNNNNNNNNNNNNNNNNNNNNNNNNNNNNNNNNNNNNNNNNNNNNNNNNNNNNNNNNNNNNNNNNNNNNNNNNNNNNNNNNNNNNNNNNNNNNNNNNNNNNNNNNNNNNNNNNNNNNNNNNNNNNNNNNNNNNNNNNNNNNNNNNNNNNNNNNNNNNNNNNNNNNNNNNNNNNNNNNNNNNNNNNNNNNNNNNNNNNNNNNNNNNNNNNNNNNNNNNNNNNNNNNNNNNNNNNNNNNNNNNNNNNNNNNNNNNNNNNNNNNNNNNNNNNNNNNNNNNNNNNNNNNNNNNNNNNNNNNNNNNNNNNNNNNNNCGCUGCUGGCUCCUCGGAUGCUUCGGCGGCCUCCUAGAGUGCGUCUGGCUCGCACCCUCAGCCGCAGGCCUCUUGGCCUUCCCUUUGUCCCUAGCCUCUCGCUGCUCCUGGACCUCUGCCGCGCCGCUCUCCACAAUGAGCGCGCGAUCCACCACCUCCCGGUAGGUUUGGAGGUUAGAGGAUUGCACGAACCGAAAGAUAGACGGUCUAAAUCCUCGCUCGAAGAUGCGGGCCUUGUCCUCGUCGUCCCGCACGACGAAGGGCACGCAAUGCAGAAGCCGAGAAAACUCCCUCUCGUACUCGGCUACAGUCCGGUCGCCCUGGUGCAAGUUGCGCAAGUCUUGCUCCAUCUUCCUCUUGACGCUGGUCGGGAAGUAAUAAGCCAAAAGAAGCUCCUUGAACCUCGUCCAAGUGAUAGCUGCCAAAUCUGUGCGGGGGUUCUCCUGGAGAUCCAACCACCAGCGGUAGGCCUCGCCGUCCAAGUGGUGAGUGGCGAGCCAAACUCUGUCCCUCUCCUCCACGAAGGUAUCGCGGAAGAGCUUCUCCAUAUGCAGCAACCACUUCUCCACGAUCCAGUGGUCGACCUUCUCGCCGUCGAAGACUCGAGGGCUGCACCUCCUGAACUCAUUGAGGCGCUCCAUCAAUCUGUCUCGCUCCACCCCCUCAACCAAAGUAGGGAAUGCAGCUCCAACCGGGGGCCUCUGCACAGGCGGUGCCACCAAAACCUCCUCCUGGGGUGCGGCCGCAGGCGCCGCACGCGAAGAACUGGGCUCGGGGGACGGCGCUCUCGGUGCCACGUCCAUAACUGGUGCUGGCGGUGUAGGGGCCUGAGUCUCCCUAGAAGCUGCUGCCUGCUGCAGUAAGAGGUCCUCCAGGCGCUUCAUCCGCGCCUCCUGUCGGCGCGCCGCCUCAGUCUGCUGUCGGGCUGUCUCCGCCUGCUGAGUGCCCAAAUCAGUGAGGGCCGCAAGCUGGCCCCUCAACUCACGGACCUCGCUGGAUCCGGAGGUAGCGGAGGUCUCGACCACCUCAAAAUUUGCCGCAUUGUCCGCCCCGGCAGAUUGGGAGCGAGUAAUCGGCAUCGUCACUACAAUAUCAUAAAAGCGUAAGUUAGUAAAAACCCACGCUAUCGCAUCCCCGCUCAAACGACAAUACCCAAAUCAUGCGAAAGUAAGGAAGUGUUCUCCACUACUAACUCCUGAUGUUACGUUGUCGGCCGCCAACGUAACCCUCCGCGAAGUUAGAGGCUAAACACUCCAAUUUAACUCCACUUUCUAGAGUUAUCCAAGAUACCCAAUCCAGAUACUUUCGCUUACAAGUCAAAUAGACCUCGUCUCUCAAGAGCCUAUUUCCUAUAGUCCAAUCCGGCCUAAGGUUUGCUAGGUCCCCUAAGACUCAACCCUAGGCUCUGAUACCAAAUUAAUCUGUCACGCCCCGGGACCCAGCGGAAGCCCGCCCGGCACGUGCCCAGACCCGCCAUACGUCUAAAACGUAUAAGGCGUCUGAAAAAAAACAGCAAUAAUAAAAUCAAUAGCGAAAGACAACUAGGAGUAUCAGAGCAUGAUAAAUGUCUAAAGGCUACAACAAGGGAUAAGGAUAAAACUGUAAAUCCACUAAUAAAAGCAUAAAGUAAUACAAAGGAAAUCCCAAAUACAAGUGCUAUAGGUAGAUACAUAGGUGGUCUCUAUACAUGGAUACAAAAACUGUCACCCCCGCCCCGAAUCCACAUACCCAAUUUGGACGGUUCGGGCGCGUCGGACGGCCGCCGAAACGGACAGCACCUCUUCUGUCCGCCAAGGCUAAGCAACGCGGAUCAUGUUAACACUUAAGCACCUCAGGAAUUGUGCUUAAAAUAAACAUACAUGAUCGAAUAGAUGCACACAAGUGCAUAUACAUCAAGAGCAAGAACCACAAGUCGAUAUACUAGUGUAUAAAGAGAGAUAGUCUAACUAUGCACAAUCAUUCAAGCAUUUACAUCAUUUGAAUAUUUAUUUUUCAUCUUCCAAAAAUGUAAGUACAUGUUUUUCAAAAAUACAAGUCUCUCCGAUAUCUAUCUCAAAAUAUCAACUAGUACACUGAGGUUGACUGUCUAAUGGCAUAAGGAAAAUGCUACUAACUAGGCUCACUUAGGUGGCGCUAUGCCGCUUGCAAGCGGUCCUCGCUCGGCUCGCAUCUCUAUGUGUACCUAGUACCCAAAACACGAGCGGGGUUGAGAACUUAAUAUAAAUAUAGUUCCCAGUGGGUUCGGCCGCCAGACGCCGCCGGUUUUUUCCCACUAGGUUCUAAGCUGCACAGAAUAGUAGAGGUAGAUAAUAUAUAAAGAGAUAACUUGCAAACUACUCUAUUCAUUCCAUCAAAUAAUGAUAUGCAUGCAACAACUACUAUCAGCGAGAAUCAUGUCAAUGAGUAUAUAAAAGUACAUAGUAAUCGCAAUCUACACAUACACUAUGUCUACUCGAGGUAAUAAUGCAAGUCUACUCAUAGGAUGUUCUACACAUGCUACCAUAUACCUCGAUAGUAUCUCAAUCUCAUGGCAACCCGCCGAAGGUUGCCACCCGGGACAACACGACUCACUCUCAAUGCUCUAGGUGAGGAAAAACUGCACUCGCACACCGAGACCGUCUGCUGGGACAACCCUGUAGAUACUCCAGAGACUCUGUGCCUCGGGGAGGACACCGACAAGCCGAAAACAGACUAGUGAGGUAUGAUGCCAUCCUCACAAAGAGGAUACCCUAUUCUACCAGGGGUCAAGUACUCAACUGCACUGAAUGUCAACAUGCAUAAUGUCUCACCAUGACAUAUCGGGAAAUCUACUAUCCCUAGGUUUCAAAUCCAUAGUGUUGCCACACACUAGCAUUUGAUGCCACUGCAUUAUGUCAUGAUGCUAGUAUGUUGUCCUCAAUAACUCACUAAAUUGACAUGCCACUCGUUCUUGUUAUAGUGUUCUAUUAACUAAUCCAAUAUGCCACUUGUUUUCAUCAUCAAUGAAGUCCAUAUUUAACCAUUCAUUCGUGUCACUAUAAAGGAUCUUGUCAGCAUUGACCCAAAUCCUCAUGCAACCUAAGUUCGUAUGUGUUCAAAGCCCACCAAUCGCCUACACUACCAAUAGGAAACAUGCAAGGAAAUGGAAUGUAAUCAUCUAUUAUCCUAUAUGAUGCACAAUAUCAAUUAUAUGAAUAUGAUCAAAUAAAACUUAGAGCAUAAAAAGGAGCCCCGGAUUGUUCGGGAUACACCCCACGUUUUACCGCUAUCACGAAGCUAGUUCUCAAUUUGCACGUUCCCUAGUCGCGCGCCUUUAUUCUUCGGUCUACACAAGGCCGCCUGCGCUUGUUUCUGGCCAGAAGUCGGCCGAACGCUCGACGAAUUGACGAACCGACGCUUCCCACCACGCGUUAGGCACUCAAACACAAACUUUUUCCUCAAGCCAAGUAAUGGGACUUCCACUCCAAAGCAAACCUUUUCUCUCCAAAUGCACCUCCAAUUCCUCCUCUUUUGGUGGAGAAAUUUGUUAAGAGAAAGAGAGAUCUUUCUCUUUGGUUGCAAGUGCUGUGGAAAAAGAAAGAAAAGGCUCAGCCCCUAUAUAUAUAUAGGAAAACUUGCCUCCAAGUUUUCAUGAGGAAACUUGUCAUCCAGUUAACUUGGCCUCCAAGUUUCAUAGGAAACUUGGCCUUCAAGUUUCAUAUGAAACUUGGCUCCAAGUUAUCCAAGAACUAUUUCACAUUCAUUUUAGCAGCACAGUACAGAUAUUUUUUCGUGCUGCCCCCUGUUUCUCUUCACAGAGAAAUUUACAUCUUCAUGUUUUCCGAGCUCCCCAUUUCAACAACGGUCACCUAACAUUUUUUUUUAUAAUUUAAUGUCUAUAAGUCCAAUAAAAAUAGUAUCCAUUACUAUUUUUAGUUUAUUUUCAACUUUUACAAUUGUAAAAUCCGUAUGUUACUUCCAACCGCAACCUCAUCGGAACCAUUCUUAAAUGUACACCCGUAACUUCAUAUUUUAGAAGUCCGGUACCGUUACAAUCCUCCCUCCUUAAAAAGAUUUUCUGCUCGAACUCAAAUCUCAUCUCAAUUCGAGUUUUUGGUGGGGGCAUCUCGAGGGUAACAAUGCCUUUUGCACUCCGAGUGGCCUUUUUUCUCAAUCGGAACUUAUCCACAGGCCCACUACAGAGGAAUAUGAGACCAAAUUCACUUCACAUUUGCUUAAAAGCACAAUCACCAAAAGUCACUUACGUUUGCAAGUCUGGUGCAGCGAAGUCCGCAUUCGACAACUCUAACACGCUCGAACAACUACUUCUACGAAUCUAGGAAUAUACUUUCGAUUCGAUCACUGGGCAUCGCCUAGAAGUAAAUAUCAUCUGGUGCAUCGACCCAUCGCAAGUGGCCAUACUAUCACAUCGAAAUUUGCUAUUAACUUACGAGAUGGCACCUUCGCCAUCUCCAAUGUUAACCUCUCAGAGAGCAUAUUCUCUAUCUCGUGUCGUAAUCAAUAUCCAAUGUCCUCCAAAGACCACUUUAAUCUUCUCUUUCCCGUGCGGGCUGAUAUCAAUUCGUUCCUGUAAAUGAUUCAUACGAACACUUGUUUUCGCGGGAAUCCGAGCCACCUCACUAAACUGAGUUCCGGCCAAAACCGCUCACGCUUGGCUUUCGCAUGGGUGGACAAAAGGUCACCAACCAUAACGUAAAUCUACCGCCUCGAACCUGUCCUCAACACGUAGCGUCUCUCGCUCGCAGCGUAGACCAUAAUCAACACUACUGGGCCGAUAAUUCUCACUUGGAAUCGCACACACUUCCGACUCAAGAGCAAAAUAUGAACCCGCAAACCACGUCAAAGGUUCUCGGUUGGGUUACUAACACUCAGGCUGUGCAUCAAUCUCUAGAAUCCAACAAGUGGCAUUCCCGCCCCGAGUUCUAUCUCGACUACCGCCUGACCAAAAUAACUUUGCACUACCCGUGGUACGCGGGCCGCUGCCAAAUCGCAGCCAUGACUGUGCCCACCCAAAUGGGCUCAGGCUUCAACAGUCCACCAAAUUCAGGCACGGGUUUCCCAAAGCACUACGCCACGCUCGUCGUCCUAACACGAUCAAAUGUUCUAACCGAGCACAUAUAGCUACUAUCGGCUCCUAAGCAGCCUACUGCGAGCCGCCGCCGCCACGAGUGACCCAUGGCCCGCUUACACUUAAGCAAUGCACAUGCUACUCGCCAUCAUCACUCCCGCCGGCUGAAUAUUGAAAAUCGCACAUCCACGAGUAUUUACAUCUCGAGGCGCUCUAAACGCUCUACACGUUCACACGAAAAUCUAGCAUUAGGCACUUGCUUAUGCACAGCCGGCGCACGAGUCACAGCCGGCCUACCUCACCUUAGGUCCUACUAGGCCCACGUGCUCAAAGCUUGGCCACUAUCGAACCGGGUUCUUCACAAUGAUCUCUACCUUCACCGUCCAAUCUAUCGAACAAUAUCCGAAAUUUCGGAUUACUCGGUGCCUACAAAGUAUCAUGGCUCAACUCUCGCAAUUCUCUGAUCAUUUGGCCUUGAAGAGUCGCUUCACUUUCAUCUAACACACACCGAGUUCCUCAUUUCUCGUCCAUAGGCACUAACUAAGCAAUUUGCUAAGUGACGUCUAGCUCUCUACCUGCUGCCAGCAGGCGCUAUAUCUCCUCUACACAAGCAUGCGGGUACCUCUACCUACCCGUUCACUGGUCCCUACUAACUAAUAUAAAUAGUACAACUGACGCAUGAAAUGCAUGCAAUGCACCAAUUUAGAUAUCAUCGUCAGAAAAAACACACAUUUCUGCAUAAACCAUACCUGCCGAUGGCUCCUUCGACAGCAGCAGGUUCCUCGACUUGAGCGGCAAAACACUUGUCCACUCGGAGUCGACUUGUCCACCUCGACAGACGAGGUGGCCAUCACACGUCCAACUGACGCAACUUUUGCGGGAGAUCAGUAGUAGGGCUUCCUCCAUAAUGGCCCGGAAUUGGCCGGAGCCGAUAACAGAGACAGGACAGGCGAGGUCCUCCUUGGGACAAUGGCGGGCUGAUUGUGCCCGGAACGCCUAAGACCACUAUGUGAAGCACUUCCCCUUUCUGGCUUCGCAAUGGUUCGGGUCAUGUUUAACCCCCGCUAAAAUGACGCACGUUCCGAUCCCGCACUCUGGAACCGCCGUGCUCUGCGGGUACUUUCGAGCGUUCUUAGAACCUGAUGACCUCUCGAGCCAUCAGAAGCCGCUUUUACCGCGUUCCCUCCCUUGGACGCCUGCUCGCCCUCGCGGUACGUGGCAUUACUAUGGCUCGUGGCCCACACGCAUCGAGCGGAGCACUUCCGCAAAUGUAGUGCGCUUCAGAAAUGAAAUGCUACUAUUAUAUAUCCGCCAGAGCUCGCUCUCAUGAACCAUGCCCGAUUCUCUAUCGUCUCGCACACACGUCUGGGGACGGGCAGUCGAUUAAUAUGUGAGAACUCCUGCUCGUUACUCUUGCGAGUGCCGACGUUUCCUUCGCUUUUAACUUUCGAAGUUUAUUCGGAGCUUUCUUUUUCUUCACUAUCGGGGACCAUAAUUGUACAUAAAUAACAAACUCCGAAACCCUUUCCCACAUCAAACUGGCGGAAGGUCGGGAGACCGAUCUCGCUGAUCCGCUUCCACCAACGCUUUCGCCGCCCGUGUCCAGAGCAAUGAGAUUGGCGAAGGGGAACUUUAUCCUUCUUUAAUAUAAUAGAGUCUUCGAAAAAGCGUCUGCCCAUCGAGUCCCACCCACCCGGCGACUCGACGCAUACCAAGCUCAACAAUCUCCCCGUUGAACAUCGGUGGACUGAAACUUACGAAAUUUCAUAAGAGCCGCAAAGCGCGCGAUCCCUCUCCGCUUCCGUCAGCUACAACUCUUCGGGAAUUGAAGUCCCGGAACCAAGUAGCCACCAUCGUCAGCUCGGAUUGCGCGCGCAAAACCGCACAGCUGCCGUGGCCAGGCACCCUCUGUCAGCGACGGGCAGAGCACCCGAGUCGCGGGCCGCUCAACAUUCGGCUUGAGCCGACGGCCAGCUGCGCUACCCCGAACUGUUGUAGCCUCGCAAUCUGGUCCUCUGGCGCUGCAUCACCCGACCAAUCGAGGCGAUCUUGCGCUCGCGAAUUCACGCGGCACUUCUUCAGAUCCCGACUUCUCCGAGCACCAUCUCGGGAGGUUGGCUGCCAGAGGGAUCUAGUUACGGGGCCGUCUCUUCGGUGGCCAUAGCACCUGAAACGCAACAACUUGGUUAAUCACCUAACGGCCGUUAAUCUCUGCAACGUACUAGACAAGCGACAGCAAAUCCGCCAUAAAGCGGGCAGUACACCCAUUGUAUUAGUCUAAUGCUUAGCGUGCGUGUUGUCGGCCGCCAACACAAAACUCUCGAGGCUCGAACUAACACCGCUCGGUAUCUAUCUCUGUCCACUAGAGAUCUAUACUCGAUACCGAGCCAAUCGAUUCUUCCGUCAUCGCGAUUCAGUGUUUACAGUUUCUCUUCACGUACUAUACUACACUAGGUUCACCGUCCUAGAAGGUCUCUAGGUCCAUCCUAGACCUCUCUUUACUCUUGCUCUUAGAUUGGCUCUGAUACACACUGCUACCGCCCGAACCUACCAAAUUGGGCACGGUUCGGCGCGACGGACGGACAGGCCAACGGACACACCUUUUCUUCUGUCGGCACCAAGGCUAAGCCAUACCGGAUUCAUGUACAGUUAAAGUACCUCAGGAAUUUUGCUUAAAUAACAUACAUGAUCGAAUACGAUGCACACGAAGUGCAAUACAUCUAAUAGCAAGAACCACAAGUGAUAUACAAGUGUAUAAAAAGAGAUAGUCUAAGCUACACAUCAUAUCACAUUUCUCAAUUUGAAUAUAUUAUAUUUUCAUCUCUCAAAAUGUAAGUAUAUGUUUUCUUCAAAGAUACCAAUUAGCGUCUCCGAUAUCUAAUCCAAAAUUAUUCAACUAGUACACGAGGUUACUCUAAUCAUAAGGACAAAGUACUAACUAGGCCUCACUUAGGCGGCUAUGCCCUUGCCACGAUCCUCGCUCGGCUCGCCUCUAUUGUGUAUCCUGUCCCCAAAACCGACACGGGGUGAGAAUCUAUAAUAAUAUAGUUCCCAGUGGGUUCGCUGCCCGACGCCCGCCCGGUUUUCUCCACUAGGUCUAAGCCUCGGCACAUGAUAGAGAGGUAGAUAGAGUAUAUAAAGAAGAGAUUAAACUUUGGCAACUACUCUAUCAUGCCAUCCAAAAGUAAUCGAUAAUGACAUGCAACAACACUAUCAUGCGAGAAUAUGUCAUGAGUAUAUAAAAGUACAUAGUAAUGCAAUCUACCAACAUAACUAUUGUCUACUCGAUGUAAAUAAAUGCAAGUCUACUACAUAGUGAUUCUCUAACAACAUGCUACCAUACGCUCGAUAGUAUCACAAUCUCAUGGCCAACCCGAAAGGUUUGCCACCCAUCCGGGGACAACGCCACGACUUCACAAUCUCAAGUCUCAUAGGUAGGUAGGAGAACUCACUCGCACACUGGUCUACGCGAAGACCGUCUGCCGAGAAUCACAACGCCUGUGAGAUACUCCGGAGACUGCGUGUCCUCUGGUGGAUGCGUCCACCGACAAGCGAUAACAGACUAUGAGUAUGAUCCAAAUCUUCACAAGAGGAUACCUCUAUUACGCAGGGUCCAAUGUCCUUCCCAACUACACUAAUUGUCAAAUGAAUGAAUGUCUCCAACAUGACAAUCGGGAAAAUCUACUAUCCCUAGGUUCAAAUGCUCAUAUGUUGUUCCACUCACUAGAUCUUGAUGCCACUUCCAAUGUUAUGUCAUGAUGGCUAUACUGUGUCUCAAUACACUAAAUUGACAUCCACUCGUUCUUGUUAUAGUGUCUCUAUUACACUAAAUCCAAAUCCACUUGGUUUUCAUUCAUGACAAGUCCAAGUUUAACCAUCAUUCGUGUCCACUAUAGGAUUCUUGUCACAUGACCCAAAUCCUAUUGCAACCUAAAGUUCUAGUGUCAAAGCCACAAUUGCUACACACCAUAGAAACAUGCAAGGAAUGGAUUAUGUAAUCAUCAACUAACCUAUAAUGUCACAAUAUCAAUAUAUGAAUAUAAUGCAAAAUAAAAUUAGACAUAAUAAGGAAGCCCGAUUUUCGGAUGAACAUCCCCCCCCGCACCUCUUGUAAGUAGUCACAAGGCAAGGUUCUCAUUGCAAAUCUUCCUAGUCGCUCGCUCUUACUCUUUCGUCUACACAAGGCCGCUCGUUGUUUCCUGCCAGAACAAUCGCACCCUCGACGAAGUCCGACGAACCGACGCUUCCCAACACGCUUUAGCGCACCCUUCAACAGCAAAGCGUUUGGAGCUUUCCUCAAGGCCAAGUAAAUGAAGACGAUAAAGAGCUUCACCUCAACGCCAACCUUUUUCUCUCCAAUGAACCCUCAAUUCCUCUCUUUGUGGAGAAAUUUUGCUAGAGAGAGAGAGAUCUUUCUCUUUGGUUGCAAGUGGAGGGAGAAAUGAAAGAAAAGGCUCAAGUCCCUAUAUGAUAAUAGAAACUCUGGUGCUAAAGGUACCGGGCUUCUUAAGAACUAGAAGUCUAUGGGUGUCAAUGAUUUGGGGAGGGCCAUUUGACAAUGGUCCGGUGGAGAAUGUAAACAUACCAGAUUUUUGGUAUAAAAAUAUAUAAAUAGAAACAUAGUGUGGGAUACUGAUUUUUAUGAUUUCAGAGAAAUAAAACAUAAGUCUUAGAAUUGAACUUGUGCUGAAAUCGGAAUGAAAACAGAGAGAUCUUAAGAAUUUUCUGUCAAAGACGGGGCAGAUAAAAUUAUCAGAAAAUGCUACAGUCUUCAAGAAAAUUAUGAAUAAUUGGCAGAGAUCCGAAAUAUUUUUAUGAGACUAGCUAUGAGUUUCAAUAUUUUUCUGACAUCCAGAAAAAGUUGUGAAUCAGAUUCCGAAAGUAAUCUGAUAAAGAUUACAAGUUCGUCAGGUUUUAGUGAACCAAACGGGGAGUCCGAAUAACUGAAAAUAUUAAGAAUUUCGUUGGACUGCGUUUAUUGUGAAACCUGGGAGCCAGCCUGUCAAGUUUGACUCAAACAGGACAUUCAGUGGAGCUCCGUGCGAAAGAUAUCAAGAUUUUAAACUGCCCGGUAAGAAUGAAAUAUGAAUUUGAGGAGGUUUGACCUUUAAUUUAGAAGCUAAUUAGCUUCUUCUUCUUCUUCUAUAGCGCAGCAGCCUUGCAAGAGCAUCACGCACUGCAUAGGGAGGAGGGAGAAGAAACCUUCUCUUUCUCUCUAAAGAACUCUCUCAUCUCUCUAUACUCUCAGAGUCAAUCGCUGUGGUUGGUGGAGAAGAUGCUUGGCGAAACAGCGUUGUGAGUGGCUGACGGAUCUGAGCUUGUCCGUGCGUGUCGUUGGAGCGAUGUGUUGUUCGUCGCGGCGGUUCACAUUGGGGUAAGCUUUUGGGAUUUGUUUAAAUCCUUCACAUGAUGAUGUUCUUAGUACCUAGAGUGAUCUAAACAUGUUCUCUCGCAUUUAAUUUGGAUUAUUGGAGUUAAUUGGCAUAUUAGGGUUAAAAAAAUGGGAUUUUGCAAAAUGGUAGUUUUUUGUGUUUGAUCUCAUUGAACCUUCGUCAAACCUAAUUGAGGUAACGGAAACGCCGUUGGCGAAGACGGUUCGGCGAUCCGUCGAGCCGUUACAAAGAGUAUAUUAAAGAAAUGGACGUCUUAGGUUCGUUUCCUUCACGCCUGGGAGGCGCCGAGGCGUACGUCAGUAAAUCAAUGGAAAUGGAUUUGAGGCAAUCGUGGCACCAUAACCGAAGACCAUAAAUUUUCGGGGCCGCAUAAAGGCGGAGCACGGUGCGGCGCAGUUGCGAUAUCGGGCCGUGCCGGUACGGAUGCCCGCGGGAGGCGGAUCGCAAGUUCGAUGAAAGCAAUCAUGAUAAUGCAAUAGCGAGGUGGUUGUGUACGAAAGCGACUUGUCCUCCGCAUGUCAAAGCGGAAGUAGAAUCUAUGAUGCAUAAUAUGGAUGUGCAUAUGAACAUGUUAGUAUAUAGAUUAUGUUGACAUGUAGGAGAGCAUGCUAAAGAACAUGAAACAAUAUUAAUGAAUGUCAGCAAUACGAGAAACUGUUAAAUGUAUGAACAUUGUUAGCAGCUAUAGAUUCAUGAUGACAUGUAUGGCCCAGAGCAUGCUAGGAACAUGAGAUCAUGUUAGAUAAUGGUUAAUGGCAUAAUGAGAAAUGUGUUAUAAGUUAAUAUUAUGUGAAUGUAUCCCUAGUUGGUAAUUGCAUAUUAAAUUGUAUGUUAGAGAAUCAUGUAGAGGUGCAUCGCGCAUAUUAAUACGUUAUGAAAAGAUGCAAUUGCUAAAGUACAUUGAUGUAUUGAUAGAACCUCGAUAUGGACCAAUUAAGUAAUCCAAUAAGAUCGAGUGGCACUGAACCUAGCGUCGUGAACUUAGGUUGCAUAAGAAUGAAAGGACUAGUGUUAUGGAACAUGAGGUCGAACAGGAAUGAUCAUAUGAACCUAGUGUUUUAAACAUAAGGUCGGAUAAAUGAACCUAGUGUCGUGAAACCUAAAGGUUGACUAAGUGUAACCCCCGCGGAUCUCGGUAGAAUAUUGAGGACUUUAAGCAAAAUCGACUAAAAUGUACUCCCAAGAGAAAUGUUGGAACGAAGUCCGUAUUUAACAUUCCAACAGUGUUGGAAAGGGUCAAAGUGAGUUUCCAAUGAGGUUCAAAAGGUUCAGAGCAAUUGCUUCGGCGUGAUUGGGGUCGCGAAAAUAAUGCGAGAUGAGGUUCGGGAGCAUUCGGGGCGGUUUUCGGUGCCGCGUAGCGUGAAACGGGACCCGAAAAGGGCUAUGUUGGACCAUGACUAAUAUCGGAUAGCGUUGGAUAAAAGAUGAUGAGAUCGUCUCGAAAACAUGUUAUAGAGCCUCGGUUCGAAUUGAGAUGAAUCGGAGGUCAAACGAACGAAAAACGAGCGAAAACGAGAAAAAGCUGAAUAAAAUUGGCUAAAGUCCUGAAAAAGUGCUCGUGUUACCGGUGAACACCCCGUGUGUAGCGCGUACGUUUCAGUUGUAAAUCCGAGAAGAGAGCUCUCGGUUGGCUUGCUUACGCAGGUCGUGUAUCGUGACACCUAGCCCCGGUACCGUAUCAGUGGACCCGACAGCAAAAAUGAGUCUGCUGGCAGAAUAUGAGUUGUGGGAGGUUUUAUUUGCAAAAUGUACCAAUAUGUUAAUACCCCAAACCCCUCUCCCAUUGCAGGUGCAGCGCUCUCUCUCGCCUUUCUCAAUCCGUAGCAUAGGGCAAAAGAGAGAAGAAGAAAAAAGAGAAGGAUAAAGAGAAGGAGAAAGUGAAAAGAAGAAAAGUAAAGAAGGAGAAGAUGGAGGAGAGGAAGAGGAUGCAUCAACCAAUCAUCAUCCUCUGCAUGCUUCUUCUCUCCCUGGACUCUAGGAGCAGGUAAAGCUUCCAAGCCUGCUCAUGGUAGAUUUUGUAGAAUGAGGUUUUGAAAUCCUAGAUCUUUGAUUUGAUCUCCCUACAAGCUUUAGAACUUCGUAGAGGCCAAAGAGAACACAUAGAAAUUGCAUGCGUGUUGCCUUCAUGAUCUCUAAUGGUGGUAUCCCUAGGGUUGUUUCCUAAUACCCUAGGAUUGAUUCUAAUGAGAUAGAAACAAAGUUUAGAGAAGCUUCUUGGUGAUCUAAGCUCGCAUUAUGCUUAGGUUAGUGAGAUCAAUCGCUAAGAGAUUUUGACUUGAUUGCAUUGUUCUGCGCACCGAAAUUGGGCGCUUUUUGGCCUGCGCUGGGUGUUUUUAAGGCAAAUUGACCUGAAACUAAUUGGGACCUACGGAACGCGUUGGUGCGCUCGGUUCGGCAAUCCGACGAGCGACCGAAGUUUAUUGACGAAAACGAAUCGUUUUGGACAGAUAGCUGCAGGCAACAGCGGAAUAAAGGUCUAAAAAUGCAUUGAGAUCGGAACGCGGAGCAACCUUGGAGUCAAGGAAAUAACUUCCGGAAAAGACGGAUCGCGAUUUGGAGGUCGUUCGCUAAUCGCGCAAAGAGUGCGAGCCAAAACCGGGCAACGGGUUGCCGCGGGAGGCCCGAUUGCAAGUGUCUGAACGAAGCAAUGGGAACGCAGUUUAAGGUGGGUUGUUUUACCGCAAGGGCGACUAGGUCGCCUUUAUGUCUAAUUUUUAAUUUCGUGUUGAAUGAUGUUGAUUGUUUUGGCAUAGUUGAAUAGCUAAGUAGCAAUGCAUAAUAUGAUGUAAGACACUAAAAUUGAUGCAUGAUAAUGUAAAUGAAGCAUGUAAAAAUGAUGCAUUGUAAGCUAAAUAAUGCCAAUGGUGAAUGUGUGAUGUAAUUGCUAAAUAGAAUGCAUUAUGAGGCCAUUGUUGAAUAAAGCUAGAUAAUUAUGUGAUAUGCAUGUAACCAAUUAACUGGCAUAAAUGAAAUGCAAUUGAUGGUAUAAGUUAAAAUAGAUAAUAGAAUGCAUGUUGAGCUAUUGUGAGAUAAAUGUGGCAUGAAACUCGGUUGAAUAACCCUAAGAAUGAUGCUAUGCUAAAGUAUAAGUGAUUAGGCUGAUAUGAAAAUAGUACAUACAAGUACAUGGUAAGAAUUCUGGGGGGGUAAGGAAGGACAAGUGUAGUGGAAUGAAUAAAUAAUAUAGAUCGAGUGGCAUUUUAACCUAGAGUCUUGAAAAGUUAAAUGAGAGUGAUGUUAAACCUAAUGUAAAGAACAUAGUUGUGAAAUGAAAGCUGCUAACUAGGAUAAAUGAACCUAUGUUGGGAAAAGAGUAAAUGAUCCUAUGUGUAAUUAACCUAGGUAGAAUGCUGUGAAAGCAAUAAACCAAAAAAAAAAAAAAAAAAAAAAAUAAAGUAAUAACUUAGGUUGUAUAAAGGAUGUUGACCUAGAGUCAAUUGACGCUAGGAGAUAAAGGCUUAGAGCCUAGAGAAGGUCAGUUCAUAGGGUUAAGCCAACCUUGGUUAAUGUGAUAUGGAUUCGAUUAAUAUAAUCUCAGGCAGUUUCACCAAGCAGGCUCUAGAUGAUCAGUUAAGCAACACAUAACAAGACAGUUAAUUUUAUUGACAAGAAGUAUGACCGAUAGAAAGCAUAUAUUACUCUAACAAAUUACAAAAAUUUAUAAGUUGAUAGCCAAUAUUCAAGUUAACCUAUAUAUCCUCCACGGCCGCCAUUCACGAGCCCAUAGAACCCGAGAAACUGAGAGGACGCGAGACAGAGAACAGAGCACCGCACACACUGCCGGCGAGAACGACCUCAAUGGUGCUCGUCCACAUUCCAUUGCCCCCGUCUCCGCAAAUCCAAACCCUCAAUCGCAUCAGGAAACUCACCAAACCUACAACAAAAACCAAUACUCCCCAAGUAUAGUAAAAAAAAAAAAAUCGCAAUUUUACCCUAACAGAACAGUAGCCAAAUUAAUCCUUUCCCCGAAAGCUUAAAUCAAGACAUUUCGCAAAAGUCCACACAAUCUGAAGGUCAUUCUAAAAGAAUUAAACCGAGAAACAGCAAAAAUCCCAAUUUUUUACGCCUAGAAAACAGUGGCCCAAAAACUAUCCUUUCAAGCACAAAUCACUAAACUCCGCGAACAAUCCUCAGACACGGCUGCGUUAUCAAAGAACACAAAAGUUAACAAAACAAAAAUGCCAAUUUUUACUCUAAAAACAGAAGCAAACUUAAUCCUCAGAGCUCAAAUCAACAAAUUCCCAACAAGUCACACAAAUGCAACCGGUUUCAUUCCCAAAACAUUUUACACCAACAAGGCCCUAAAGCACUACAAAGGCGCGACUUGAGGCCCACCCGCCCCCCCCAUGGGUAAGAUCUCGGAGACGGAGCUCAGCACCUCGAUGAGGCGGCGAAACCCUAAGGACGGCUUAGAGAAAGAGGUAGGGUAGGUGGAAGAGGAUUGAAACGUAGCCUCGAAGCUCUUAAGCAUAGGAAAGGGAUGGGAGGUGGUCCUCCUCUCCGAACUUUUGCAAUAACCCUAGAUAAUGGGGGAGAGGAGAGAGAGAGAGAGAAAGAGAGAGAGGGGAGAGGAGUCGAGUGUGGAGUAGAGAGAGAGAGAGAGAGAGAGAGAGAGGGUGAGUGACAUUUGUCCAAAGUAUAAUUGUGCGGAGUAAAUAAAUAAAAUAAUAAAUAUAAAAAAUAAAUAAUAAUAACAAUAAUAAUUAAAAACGUGAAAAAUAAAAUGAAGAAUUAGAGGGGCUAGCUGAAAUUGCGUUUGAAAAAAGAGUUUUGUUUUUUUUGGGCUAAAAAACAGAAUUUUCCAAUCAUUUUAUGUUUACAAAAAUGCUUUUAUGAAAAAAAAAUCAAUUUUCAUAAAAAAGAAAAGGUUUUUUUGGCAUUGCAUAAAAAUUCCACAAAUUUGAGCUUUGCAAAACGAGCACAUUUUCAAUUUUGUAGAUUGGGUCGAAUUUUUCGUCAUCGGACAAAAUCCUUUAUUCCCUUUCUUUCUCUCAUCUUCUUUUUUGUUCUCUUUCGUGCGUACGCCUCUCCCGCCUCAACCCUUCCCACCCGCUCCAGCCUUCAACCCUCCGCGUACGCCUCUCCGCCUCCGGCCCCUGCCGCCUUCCCACCCGCUGAUUCGUCUGAACCUCUCCGAUAUGCUCCGCCGCCUCGGCCUCGUAGACCUCUACUCCACGCUCCGCCUUAUCCCUCCGUCCCACCGCUCCGCCUCAACACCCUCGCCAAUACGCCUCUCUGCCUCGACUCUCGUAGGCUUGGUGGGGUCCUAGACCGAUCUCGCCCUGGAGCCCGACGAUGUCGCGACUGCAUCUGGCGAGGUCGCGGAUGGAGAUUCGCCGGCGCCACUGCCCGACGUUGACCGUGGUCAAGAGUUGGAGUAGCGGUCCAUGAGAAGAUGAGGGGCGUCAGCGAGUCGUCGACGUGGAGCGAACUCCGGAGCCGGGCGCCGGAGCCCCAGACGACGAUUUUUCUCUACGGCUAUGGCACCUGAGCCCUAGCAGGGCACCUAUCUUUAUUAUUUAGGCACCUAAUCGUAAUGGUGUAAAAAAGAAAAAGGAAGAGAAGAGGAGGAUAUGGAUAAAUGAUCAAUUUUGGGCGAAAAUGGUGUAAAAUUGGACAAAAUUUGCACAUUUCUCCUCCUCCUCCCCUUCUCUUUUUCUUCCCUCGGCUCCGCGUGCAGGCGGCGCACCUGGGCCGUGGUGGCGGAUUACGGAGCUAGCUCUGCGAGCAAGGGGGGCGCGUGCGGGGCGUUUGGAUGGCCCUACACGGUGGUGCCGAGAACGACAACCGUGGGCCGGCUGUGGGCUUCUCAGAUGUCGGCUUCAUACUCAACUUCCUACCAUCGGAUCCGCAUCUGUGCGCCCUCGUUAAAGUCUAGCGCAACUGCUCACCNNNNNNNNNNNNNNNNNNNNNNNNNUAUGCAUGCAUUCUACUCAUAUAGCUCUACUAUAUAGUGAAAUUUUCAUAAUACACAAGGCAUGCAUUUUAAGUGCUCUAAAAUUCAUAUAAAUUUUAUUUAGCAUAGAAAUAAAUUUAAAAAUAUUUUACAACAAUUAGAAAGAGCAUAGGGGUCAUUUCGCCCCAUUUCCAUGAAGCCAAACCCACCGUCGUCAACGAAGGCUUUCGUUUGCCACGAGGAAGGCGUCCACCACACUCCUAGUACCCUAAAGGUAUGAAAGCAAGUGUCAUCUAGUCGAAACGAACGACGCUAAGUUCAAUCUUUAACUAUAUAGGGCUAGGGUUGAAGAAAACUCACCGAUUGCGAAGGAAGCUCUCUCGAUCUCCAAAUGGGAGCUAGAGUCCUUCCAAUCUAACCUAAACAAAGAUUCUAAACCCAUCAAUUAGGUUCCAAAGCCCUCAAAUCAAAAAUCCCCAAAACUAACCCUAGAAUCCCAAUCUAGGGUUUCAUCUAGUAAAACCUAGAAAAACAUGUAUUAAAUGGGGAUUACAAGCUACCAACCUCAAGAGAAGCUUCAAUCCAAGCUCAAAGCUAAGUAGGGUUGAAGUUGUAUCCUCCACAAAGCUUCAACCGCAAGCUCGAAGCCACCAAGGUGAGAAAAUGGGGAAGAUGAUGAUGCUCAAAGCCUCCAAGCAAGCUCCUUCUCCUCUUCUUCUUCUUCUUCUUCUCCCUCUCUUCUUCUCUCUCUAGAAUAGGUGGGAAGGGAAGGAAUGAGGAGUGAAGAGAGUGAAAUGGCUAUAUAGACCAUCUAAAGCAACAAAAUCCACUUAGGCCCCUCAAAAACUCAAAAUUACAUCAGCCCGGUCUGGGCAGUUUUCGCCCAGAGGGACUGGUCUCCCCGACUUGGGACCGGUCUCUCAGCCUGCCCCGAAAACCCAACGUUCGGGAAUCGGUCUCUCCCUGCGCGGGACCGGUCUCUCUCCGCGCAGACGCGCUCGGGGACCGGUCUCGACUGCCAGGGACCGGUUGCCUCGCCGGCUGCGCAGCACUGCUCACUGGGGGACCGGUCUCUCCUAUCUGGGACCGGUCCCCAAGAGUAAAACUCUCAGGACUCAGCCAAAACUCUAGAAAUCGAUCUUUUAGGCCGGUAUAUCAUCGACGGCCCUCCACCGAGUGUGGAAAAGUUCGGAACACAGAUCGAACACUUGAACCUCGCAAUUUGCAAAAGUCCAGUGUGCUACAAAAAUGGGCGAGUUAUUGCUUAUGCAUCGCGCCAAUUGAAGAGUUAUGAGAAGAACUACCCGAUUCACGACCUUGAGUUAGCCGCAGUGAUCUUCGCGCUAAAGCUUUGGAGGCAUUACCUAUAUGGUGAACAUUGUGAGAUAUACACAGAUCACAAGAGCCUCAAGUACUUGUUCACCGAGAAGAAAUUGAAUAUGCGGCAACGGCGGUGGUUAGAGUUGCUAAAGGACUACGAUGUCACUAUACUAUACCACCCUGGGAAAGCCAAUGUCGUGGCCGAUGCUCUAAGUAGAAAAUCGGCGAAGAACUUACCGAUGGCAAUUACGCCUCAACUGCUAUUGCGAAAGGAGAUGCAAAGGCUUGGGUUGGAAGUGGUAGCGCCGGGAGUGCCGGCUACCCUUGCCGCAUUAGUCGUGCAACCGACCCUAUUCGAGAGGAUUAAAGAGUUACAAGCUUCGGAUCCUUAUCUCCAAAAGGUUCGAGGUGAAGUUGAAGGCGGUAGCGCCGAAGACUUUGGCGUUUGGACCGAUGGCGCAGUUCAAUUUCGAAAUCGUUGGUGCGUGCCUAAAGACGAUGAGUUACGAAGGGCGAUUAUGCAAGAGGCACACCAAUCCCCUUAUAGCAUACACCCCGGCGGCACUAAGAUGUACCAAGAUUUGAAAGAGCACUAUUGGUGGCCGGGCAUGAAGAAAGAUAUUGGGGAAUUCAUGGCGCAAUGUCUAACGUGCCAACAGGUGAAAGCGGAGCGCCGAUUUUCGGCGGGAAAGCUACAAAGUCUAUCAAUUCCCGUUUGAAAAUGGGAAGAUAUAGUGAUGGACUUUAUUACCGGUUUGCCUCGAUCACAAGGCGGCCACGAUGCGAUAUGGGUGAUAGUGGAUCGAUUGACAAAGUCGGCACACUUCUUGCCGAUACAUACUACGUGGUCGGGAGACAAGUGUCACACCCCGCCCCGAGACCGCUACAGUUUGGCACGGUUCGGGCGCGCCGAGCGGACCGCCGAACGGACAGCACCUCCCCUGUCCGCCCAAGGCUAAAGCGACGAGAUUGUGUACAUCAAGUUCCCAGGAAAACACUUGAAUAUAAAGAAACAAUCAUACAACAACUGGCGAGAGCACAAACAGUGCAGAACAAUACGAGAGCAAGCAUCACAAGUAGAAUCAUACAAGUGAAUAAAAGAGAGAUACUACUAUCUAUUACAUCACAUUUGACAUUUACAUCCAUUCAACCUUUUAUACAACUUGAUUACAUUUAUNAAGCUUCCAAAAUGAAUACAUAAUCAUCUCACAUGUAUAUAAUGCUAGCUAUCCAAAAUACAUCAUGUCAUCUAUAACCAUGCACACGAGGGUGCUCUAGUACAAUAGGAAAGCUCUACUAGCUAGCUAGGGCGCUAUGCCCUUACCGCGAUCACCUGCCGGUCCGCUCACGUGUGUACCUGUACCCCAAAACCACACGGGGUGAGAACUAUAAAAAUAUAGUUCCCAGUGGGUUCGGCCGCCGACUCCGCCGAUCUUCCCACUAGGUCUAAGCUGGCACAGAUAGAUAGAUAGAGAGAUAAAUAGAUAUUGAACUGCAACUAUGAUCUAUUGUGCCAUCAAAUGCAAGGAAUGCAUGCAAUAUCAUUUAUCAUGCUAGUAUGCUUUAACAAUGUAAUGAAUACCAAUACAACAUAGUUAUGUAAACCUCUAACAUAUGCUAUGUCUAAUCAUGGUAUGAAUGCAAAUCUGCUUAUGCAAUUCAUGUCAUUACCCAACCCACUAGGCUACCCCACCUAAGGUCUCAACCACAUAGGUGAAGGACUACCCCGCCCUUGUCUCACCCGUCUCACAACUCUAAUGCUACGGUAAAGAGCUACCCUACUCUUACCCGACUCGUAUCUCGAAUGCUAUAAGCUAAAAGAGCUACCCCGCUCGUUGCCCGACUCAGAUCUCAUGUCCUAUAGGUGAAGAGCUACCCCGCUCCUCGCCUAACUAAUACUCAAAUGCCUAAGGGCAAGAGCUACCCCGCUCUUCGCCCCGACUCUAACUCAAACUCAUAGGUCAAGAGCUACCCCGCUCGUAGGUAAAGAGCUACCCCGCUCGUAGGUAAAGAGCUACCCCGCUCAAAGGUCAAGAGCUACCCCGCUCGUAGGUAAAGAGCUACCCCGCUCAUAGGUAAAGAGCUACCCCGCUCAAAUCUCACCGGUGAAGGGCUACCCCGCCCUUCGCCCGAUUCACUUCCCAGUCCAAUGGGUGGGGAGCUACCCUGCUCGUAUCCCACCCGAUGAGCUACCCCGCUCGUGAGCUACCCAGCUCGUGUGACAACUCCGGAGUGCACUGCUUAUGGGGAGCGACCGCCACAAGCCCAAAACAGACUAUGUGAGUAUGAUCCAAUCCUCGCCAACUGAGGAUACCCUGUCAACUAGGUUAACAAUCACUUGAUAAUCCACCUAUCCCUAGGUCCAUGUCAAGUGUCUCAACCACACUAAAUCUCGAUGCCACUCACCUAGGUCUAAUCAACUCUAGGUUCCACAACACUAGGUUUAAUGUCAACCUAUGUUUAACAACAUUAUAUUAAUGCCACUCGAUCUAUCCUAGGUUCACGACACUAGGUUUAGAUGCCACAUAAUCUCCAUAAUUAACAAUAGGUUAACAUUCAUUUCAUCUAGCAUAUAUGUUCUAUAAAGCCAACAUGCAUCAUAAUGCUAAUAUGCCAUUAUCAACUAGCAUGCAAUCCAUUCUUAAUGCUACAUGCAUACAAUCUCCAUUACACUAGUACACAUGUCACUAGUUUCAUUAUCGAGUCCAAGUUCUUUAUUUUCUUUUCAUUAUAGGAUCUCAUGUCUAAACCUUAGUCCUCAUGCAUUCUAUAUUUAGGUGUCAAGUCCAUAAUACUACACAACUAGACAUGCAUUCAAGGAAAGUAGAAAUAUAAUAAUACAUACAUCCUAUAAUGCAUAAGAAACAUAUGUGCAAUAUGACCAAAGAUCUAACUCGGACAUAGAAGGAAGCCCGAUUGCUUCGGAUAGACACCCCCCACCUUUUUUAUAGCGUUCCGAUUGCUCGUCGUCACUCGCAAUCGGCCUCCCGCGGCGCACGCCGCUCGGCUCGACCCUAUUCGCGCGCGACCAUCGAAUGACCUCCGCUUUGCGAUCCGAGGAUUAUAGGUCUUCGGUUUCCUGUUACGAUGCUCGGGAUCCAAUCCCACGAUUUAUGGAAGCUGCCUCGGCUCCCGGGUCAACCCUGAACUACGGAACCUUGUUUCAGCCGGAACGUCGCACCUGCUCGACGAAUCGACGAACCGUCGCUUCCUACGCGUUCGGAGACAUAACAAUUAAGUUUCUGACUACUCAAUUUAGAUCAAACCCAACUAUUUCCAAGAACCCCAUUUUUAACCCUAGGUUUGAUGCUAGGCAAAAAUCCACCAUUUGGACCCUAGCUUUAAGCAAUAAACAUCUAAUUAGCAUCUAAGAAUGCUACUAAAUCCAUUUCUAGAGCAUUUAAAUCACACCCUAGAGAUCUACCAUUAAAGCCCUCAUUUGGAGCCUUAUUUUGCAACUAGGCAAUAAACCACCAUUAGAGCUUAGGAUUCAAGCUCUAAUCAUCUAUUUAGUAUGCUAGGGUUCCUCUAAAUCCAUUUAUAGGGAUUAAAAUCCAAGCUUUAAAGAGAUGCCAUUAAAGCCUCACAAGCUUACCUCCAAAGCUUGCCCUCAAAGUGGAGAAGAUGAUGAUGAUGAUGGUGAAUCCUCUCUUGGCCUCAAUCUCCACCAACUUCCCCUCCUUCUUCACUUCCUAGAGAGAGAGAGAGAGAGUUUGAGGUGUUCUUUUAGGUUAGAAUGGUGUGAGGGAGAGAGGGAAAUGAGUUAGCACCUUUGUAUACACUCUCAUGGUGUUACAAGUGCAAACAGCCCCCUCAACAUUCAUUUUAAUACACAGCCCCCGCGGGGCCAAUUUUUUGUAUAGGGGACCGGUCCCUGGCAGUGAGAGACCGGUCCCCGAAGGUCCAGAAUUCCAGCAUUUUUAGGACUUAGCCAAAUUUCAGCCUUUUUCAUUUUCGGGGUCCGUUUUCGCUCGUUUUCGCUCGUUUGACCUCCGAUUCGUUUCAAAUCGAACCGAGACUCUCCAAACAUGUUUUCAAACAUGUUUUCAUCAUCUUUUCAUCCACGCUAUCGCCGGAUUUAGCUCACGGCCCAACUUAGCCUUUCGGGUUCCGUUUAGCGCCUACGCGCACCAAAACGCCCGAAUGCUUCCAAACCUCACCGAACCUCACCAAAACCUUUCGAAUGGAUUUCCAACCAAUUGAACACCAUAACUUCAUGAUUUUAGAAGUCCGGUACCUUACAACAAGCUAGCUCAAGUUUAUCUCGACGAGGUUGUGAGACUUCAUGGGGUUCCGGUAUCAAUUGUGUCGGAUCGAGACCCCAGGUUCAUAUCCCACUUUUGGAAGAGCUUGCAAGACGCGCUAGGCACACGGUUCGACUUUAGCACAGCAUUUCAUCCUCACAGUGAUGGACAGUCGGAGCGGAUAAUACAGAUCCUUAAGGAUUUACUUCGGGCAUGUGUACUAGAUUACAAGGGAGGAUGGCAUGAUUUCUUGCCGAUGGCGGAGUUCGCAUAUAAUAACAGUUAUCAAGAGAGUAUAGCGAUGGCGCCAUUUGAGGCACUAUAUGGUCGGAAGUGUCAUUCUCCUAUUCAUUGGAGCGACGUGGGCGAGAGAACGGCUCUUGGCCCGGAUGUGGUACGGGAGGCGGAAGAAAAGGUUCGUCUUGCCCGUCAACAGUUAGUGACGGCGCAAUCUCGGCAAAAGAGCUAUGCCGACAAGCGAAGGAAAGACUUAGAGUUCGCGGUUGGAGACUGUGUAUUUUUUAGAGUGUCGCCGAUGCGUGGAGUAAAGCGGUUUGGGGUCCGCGGGAAGCUAAGCCCCCGUUAUGUUGGACCAUUUGAGAUACUAGAGCGUGUGGGUGCGGUGGCGUACAAGCUCGCACUACCACCGAGACUCGCGGGAGUUCACAACGUGUUUCAUGUGUCAAAUCUCCGAAAGUAUGUUCACAAUUCGACACAUGUAUUGGAGUACGAGCCCGUGGAGUUACGUGAGGAUAUGUCUUAGGAGGAGUACCCGGUGUGCAUCCUCGAUCGAGAAAAAAGGAAGUUACGGAGUCGCAAAAUUCUAUAUGUGAAGGUCCAAUGGAGCAACCAUGCGGUGCGAGAAGCCACUUGGGAGCUCGAGGAGACCAUACGGAGAGAGUAUCCGCAUCUAUUUGAGUCGACGAGUUAAGGUAUGCGUAAUUUCGCGGACGAAAUUAUUUUAAGAGGUGGAGAAUGUAAUAUACCGAAAAUUCGGAAAAUAAAUAUUUAACUUUAGUCAAAUUGACCAAAGUGCGAGGAUGGAACACUUCGGAAAGUCCGAAGGUGUUAAUAUGAUCAAAAGUGCAUUAUGGGAGGUUUUCGAGAGCUAAAGAAUCAAAAAUCUGCAAACUGUAGUUUUUGAGCUCUCGGGGACCGGUCCCUCUCUCGGGGACCGGUCCCUGGUAGGAGAGACCGGUCCCCGAACGCGUGAGAAAUGAGAAAGGCCGAAAAUCGGCUAAGUACCAGAAAAUCAGCUCUCGGGAACCGGUCCCUGCGGGGAAAGACCGGUCCCCGAGAGACUGGUCCCUCUAGGAGAGACCGGUUGCCCCACGCGAAAGCUCUGCUGAGCUGCGGGAGAGCUCUCUGGGAUCGGUCCCAAGUCGGGGAGACCGGUCCCCGAACACGAAAAGGGCCCAGUUUGGGCAGUUCAAUAAAGUGAAAGUUUAGGGGCUUACUUGCAUUUAUGCAACCCAACGGUUAUGUAGAGGGCUAUGAGGGCUUUUUCCUCUCAUUCUCUCCCUCUCACACACCCUCUCCUCUUUUUCUCUCUCUAGAAGACAAGAAGGAGAAGAAGAAGACAAGGAAAAGAAGAAGAAGAAAAGGAGAAAGAAGGUGAAGAAGAAGCUAAGAAGUGAAGCUACCUCCUCUUCUUCCUGUUUGGAGCAACAUAAGAGCAAGCUUAGAGGUAAGCUUGAACCCUAUUCAUGGUAGAACCCAAACUAGGGUUUGGGUUAAGCUAAAAAUAGUUUUUAUAGAGCCUUUAGAGUAUUUGGAGCUAUCUUUUGCUUUUUUUAGAGAUCAAACAAUAGAUUGGGUGGAGGUGGUGAAGCUUGAAGGUAAGCUUCAACCCCUCUCAUGGUGAAACCCUAAAAUGGGUUUGGAAUGAGCUAAGGAUGGUUUUAAUGGAGUCUCUAGAGUAGAUUAAGCUUUCUUUUGCUUAUCUUUGAGAUCAAAACCCUAGUUUUGAUGUGGGUUGAGCUAGGGCACCCAAAUUUGGGGCUUUUGCUUGCGAGGGUUUCAAAGUGAAAUCGACCCUCUAGAAACCUAAUUGGGGAUAUUUCCGACGCGUUGGUGCGCUUGGUUUAACGUUACAAAAAGCCUAUGCAAAGUUAUGAGCAAAAUGGCCUAAUAAGGCUUCGUUUUGCCACAGGUGAUGAACUAGGAGCCUAAAAAUUCCAAGAAAAUCAUUGUAGCAUCCUAAUACGCCUACAAGGUGGGUGGUGCUAUCCAAACUUGUUGGAAUUCCUUCUAUGCCUAAUGUGUCAUUCAAUUGAGCAUAUAUUUAUAUUGUUGCAUGUAUUAUAGGGUAGAUGUGAUGAUAUACAUGUGAAUGUUGCAUAAUGUGAGUACACAUGCUAUUUGAGAUGUUUGAGAGCCUAUUUAACCCUAUAUGUAUGCAUGAGAUGUAAUGUGAGCACCCAAUGAGAGGAAAGAACAAAGUGACACAAUAAAAUAUAGACCGAGUAGCAUUCGACAAUGUAAAGUAAAGUGACACUAGAGGUAGUGUGUGUGGCAUCAAAGAGAAAUGUGACACAAAGAACAAUGCUAAUGUUUAGAGACAAGUAAAGAAAACGAAAGUGGCAUAAAGAACGAGUAAAGUUAAAGAACGAUGAUUGCUAGAGUUAGCAAAAUAAAGUGAUGUAAAGAACACUAGAGUUAGUGUGAAGACAAUGAUUGAACUAUAUAUCCUUAGAGUUAAGGAUCGAUCAUACUUGCUAUGAGUUCUGUGCUCGAGGGCGGUCGCUCCCCCUCGGGCGAUGUGCUCCGGAGUUUUUGCAUCACGGGUUGGAGUAAACCCGAGGACGGUCUUAGUGGGAGGAAGCUGAGGGCCCACGAUGAUGGACUUACUGUGGGCAAGUUAAUAUGGCGAAACCCCUGGGUUAGCCGUGAGAUUAAAGAGCAAAGAACAAGUCUAAAGAACAAAGAGUAAAGAACAAAGAAUCUGCAUACUUGCAUGAGUUACAUUGAGCAUAUUUCUUGCUUUAUUGUUCAGGCAUAUUAGCAUCAUGAUUAUAGUUUGGUUACUAUUCUCUUAUCCUUUCUAUUAUGCCUGAGUUAGCCCUAGUGGGAAAGUCGGUGAGAUUGGGGCCGAACCCACUGGGAACGUUGUUGUAGUUCUCACCCCACUAUUCCACAGAGCCGAGACCGAGCGAGCCGGCGAGCGACCGCGGUAAAGGUAUCGCACCGCUGUUGAAGCAAAGAAGGAGAAGAAGGAAAGAGAAGAAGAAGAAGGAGGAGAAGAAGAAAAAGAAGGAGAGCUUGGAGGAGAUCAUCUCCAUCACCUUCUCCUCUCCCUCUUCAUCCCUUUGGAGCAGCUCAAGAGGUAAGCUCUUGAACCCUAAUGGUAGAACUUAGGGUUUUUGGGUUUUUGGCUUUUAAGAUGAGGUCAAAUGGACCUCUAGCACCAUUAAUGGUGGAAUAGAGCUAGGAGCUAGGGUUCUAUAGUACAAAUUGCAAGAUGUGAACCCUAGGGCACCCAAAUAGGGUUUUUGAUAAAUCAUGAGAUUGAUCUCAUUUGAUAGCUUGUAAACCUAAUUGUUAGGUGUCUAAACGCGGAGGCGAAGUCGGAUUUUCGAUUCAUCGAGCGGGUAAAACGCUAUCGGCAAAAUAUAGCCUAUUGAGCGCCGUUUUGGACCAAGGAGGCCGAGACAUCGUCGUAACGUUCGGCGAGAAGCAUUUCUAGAACCUUCAUACCCUCAAAAGGUGGGGGGGUGUCAUCCCGAAGCAACCGAACUCUUUUCUAUGUCUUAGAAUAACAUAUAAUCUCAUCUCUUGCAUGUUGCAUUGUAGGAUUGCAUUGUAGUACCUUUUCCUUAUGCUUCUAAAUGUUAAUCUAGUGUACAUGGAAUACUUGGUGAAAUAGAUAGGUAAGGAUUGGGUCGGAACAUGGAUCCUAUAGUGCUAAGGAAAAGAGAUGAACUCGAUGGUUAUUUAGUGACAUAGAGAGUGGCAUUACGUAGUGUCACGUCCCGCUAUCGCCAAUUUGGUCGAUCCGGGCCCGCGCACAGACGCCGAACGAACAGCACCACCUCUGUUCGCCCAAGGCUCAACAACAACGAGUACAUGUAUAAAGAAAUAAACAAUUCUCAGGAUCACAUUUCAAUAUACAUGGCUUGCACGAUGGCAAGCAAUAAACACAAGUGAUAGUAAAGCUAGCUAAACAUGAAAUUUCACUGUAAUUUAAAACUUUAAACUAACUUGCAUAACAGAAACAUCUAGUUAUUUACAUACACUUUACUACAUUCAUUUACAUGUCUCUGUACAUCGAAAUAGAUGAUACAUGAACUCAAACUGGUAACCACUACAACUCGGGUGUCCACUAGCUAGGCUGCUGGGCUCUUGCCACGAUCCACGGCCUCGAAACUCGCACUGGAACCUGUAUGGUUAGUGGUGUGAGAACUACAAGAAAGUUCCCAGUGGGUUCGGCUGCCGACCUCGCCGACUCACCCACUAGGUCUACUCAGGCAUAUGUAGGCAAGAAAAGUAAGCAGAUAGUAACCAACUAUAACAUGUAACUACUACAAUGCCUGUACAAAGCUGAAAGAAGUAACAGAUAUGAAGACUGUAAAUAUGCAUGCAUGCUUUUCAUUAACUUUACCCAAUCUUUUGGUUAACCCUCUGGUUAACAACUGGACAAGUACGUUAGUCCUGGGGCAAGUACGUUAGCUCAUAUAUUUACCCAAUUCACUGGUUAACCCUUUGGUUAACAAUAACUCACUAACGAAAUCCCUCACGGGCCCUAAGCUGCCUCCCGAUGGGACCGUCUGUCGGACAAGUACGUUAGUCCUGGGGCAAGUACGUUAGCCCAACAAGUGACUACUCCGGAGCUCACUGCCUGGGGGGAGCGACCACCACCAAGCUAAGAAAACAGACUAUGUGAGUAAGAUCUGAUCCCCCUUUAGAGGAUUCAACUGACAACAAUGUCACAAUUUAACUCUAACUAGUUCUUUAUACUAGUUUCAUAAUUGCAUUUCUCGAUGCUAACCAAAUCUCUAGUCAUGAUGUCACCAAGUUUACUAUUGUCUUGGUCCUUUACAGUUUCAUACAUUCAUAGGGUUCUAUGUCCACAUUCUAAUGUUCACAAAUUCUCAUUGUUGAUAGGAAUUCACAUUUUCACUCGCUCAAUGCCAAACACCCUAUAAUGCAUGACUACAAAUAUAAAUAUGCUCAACGAAGAAUUAUAGACAUAAAAGGUGAUUCAAAGAGUUCGGAUAGCACAACCCACCUUUCUUUGAUGCCGGAAUGGGAGAAAUGCGCUUCUAGCGCUUUCCCGAGAAUCGCGACCCGCGCUCGUGACUAUCGACGCCGAAAAUCUUCUUUUGGCGAUAUCUUCGCGUAGGAGCGACGGAUUGCCGAACCGACUUCGCCAGCGCGUUUCUUUUACCCCCAAUUUGGUUUGUACGCGGUCAAUUUCACGUCUGGGCUUCUAUCCUGCAAAAGUGCAUUAUCGGGGUCAGUUUCUAUAAAAACUCCUGCUCAAUGCAAGUUUCGCAAUUACAUAGCGUAAUUCAAUUCUUAUUAGCCCAAGAGCCUCAGAACAGUUAAUAAAAACUGUCCAAAUACUUCAAUUCCAUUUUUCUCUCUAUCAUUUCCCUUUCUUUCAUUUUUUUUCUUCUCAUCUUAUUCUUUUCUUUUCUUGCUUUGCUUUCUUUCUUUUCAUUCAUUCUUUCUUUCUUUUCUUUUCUUUUCUUUUCUUUCCUUUCUUUCUUUCUCUUCCCUGAGGUUUUCUUUUUCGUUCUCUUUUGCUUUUCUUUCUUUUCUUUCUUUCUUCCUUUCUUUCUUUCUUGCUGCCCCUGCAGGGCAGCAGCUGCUGCUGCCACUGCUGCUGCGCAUGCUGCUGCUGCUGCUGCUGCUGAGCUGCUGCUGCCACUGCUGCUGCGCAUGCUGCUGCUGCUGCUGAGCUGCUGCUGCUGCUGAGCUGCUGCUAAGCAGCAUAAGCUGCUGCUGCUGCAGCUACUGCACUGCUGCUGCUGCUGCUGCAGCUGCUGCACUGCUGCUGCUGCUACUCCAGCAGCUGCUGCUGCUGCGCAUGCUGCUGCUGCUGGUGCUAAACUGCUGCUGCUGCUGCUGCUGCUGCUGACAGCAGCGUGCUGCAGCUGCUGCUUUAGCUGCUGCUGCUGCUGCUGUGCUGCGCAUGCUGCUGUUGCUGCUGUGCAAGCUACUGCUGGCUGCUGCUGUUCCUGCUGCUGCUGCUGAAGCUGCUGCUGCUCAGCAGCUCCUACUGCUGCUGAGGCUACUGCUGUUCCUGCUGCUGCUGCUGAAGCUGCUGCUGCUGCUGAAGCUGCAGCUGCUGCUGAAGCUGCAGCUGCUCAGCAGCUCCUGCUGCUGCUGACGUUGUUGCUGUUCCUGCUGCUGCUGCUGCCUUGCUCACAGCAGCAGCAAGAAGCUGCUGCUGCUCCUGCUCACAGCAGCAGCAAGGGCUGCUGCUGCUGCUGACAACAGGGAGAGAGAGACAAAAGGGAGAGGUUCAAAUCUUACCUCUUUUCUUCUUCUUCUCUUCUUCUUCUUCUUCUCUUUUUCCUCUCUUUUUCUUCUCUUUCUCCUUCUUUUCUCCUUCUCUCUCUCUCUACGUAUGGAACCAGAGGGAUAAGGAUGGAGGGGGGCUUGCCUGGCAGUUUAAUGGAAAUCCACUAAGCCUAUGCUAAUUACCAUUUUGCCCCUCGACUUAUCCGUUUAGUCAUACGGCUUAGAUACCUUUCGCAGUCCCUUUCAAACGUCCGAUUGAGCUCAAAUUUGACAGGCAUGUUCGGUUUUACUUAACAAGUCCAAAGAAAUUUUAACAUUUCAGUUUCGACCCUGUUUGGUCACUGCGAACUGUCCCGAACCGUAAUCUUUAUCAGAUAACUUCCAGAUGCUAUUUCUCUCUCUACAGGUGUCAGAAAAAUUUAAAACUUCAAAUCUAGCCUCAUAAAAAUGUUCCUGACAUCUCUGCCAAUUUUCAUAAUUUUCUGACACUGUGCAUUUUCUGCUAAUUUUCUCAGUCCCGUUCUUUACAGAAAAUUCUAAAGUUUCCGUUUUCACUCCGAUUUCACCCAAACAUGUCCAAAAGAUACCAAGGGACCUUCACAAGCUACCAAUCCAAUUUGGAAGCAAUUCCUUUGCAUUUUGACAUUAUUGGAGCCGAAUUAGCAAUAGAAUCAGCUCCAAUUUCAUUAUACGGCAGAAAUUUCUCCUUUUUGCACUAUCACUUCGCACUGAACACUUCAAAACCCUUUGAAAGCACACCCUUGGCUUUUCCAAAACUUCACAAUUGAUUCGGAGAUACCACAAUUUAUCCUUACGCCUUACUUUAAUUCUUUUAAUCAAAGUUAGCGUCGGAAAUCCGAAAUUCUCUUUAUAUUUCGUUUCGCGCCCAAUUUGCGCCGAAACACUUAUUUAUCUCCAGAAUUCAUUCACACGCAUCACAAAUCACUCGGGGAUGAUGUCCAACUAGCUCAAACCUCACUUUGAUCCCCUAGAUCAAAGUUGACAUCGCAACUCCAAGUUUCCAUAUGUUACACGUAGUGUACUUGACACUAGAGGUUCAUGAACUUAGGGAUAGGUGGAUUCCCUAGAAAAUGACUCGUGAACAAUGAACUUGGUAUAGCUAAGUAAAUAUGCAUGAACGUCAGAAUAGAUGAGUUCCGAGAGAAUGUUGGCCUUAGUUCGUAGGGUAUCCUCACGUGGAGAGGAUAGAUCAAGCUCACGGUCUGUUAUUUGGGGUGGUAAAGCCAUUCAUAUUCUCACAUGGAGAGGAUUGGUCAUCGAGUACUCCGGAGUGUUGGGCGGUAGGACAGAGUUGUCCGCAGACAGUCCCGGGUUCGGGGGCACAUGGAGCCUCCUUACCCAAUGGGAUGGAUAUGUGAGUCGUAGGCAAACCCAAGGGUUUCGCCACAGAUUGGGUAAAUGAAAAGUUAAUAAUGACAUUGAACAUUGCUUAUCGAACAUGGAUUGAAUCUGUUAGCAUGAUAGUAACCUUCUACUAUAUGAUGCAUGCAUUCAUUACACAUGAUUAUGGGCAUAGUAGCAUAGCUUUCCUAUUAUGUCUUUACAGCUUUGAUAUAUAGAUCAUCUAUCUAUUUCGUUGUUACUUGUGCCCACUUGGACCUAGUGGGGAGAUCGGCAGAGUCGGCGGCCGAGCCCACUGGGAACUAUGGAAGAUAGUUCUCACCCCACUCUAUUUCGAGGGCUAGGUACAGGUUUGCCGGGCGAGGACCGCGGCAAGGGCAUCGCGCCCGACCAGUGAGAACUAUUGGUAGAGUAGUAGCUUUCGUUUUGCAUUAUGUAAGGACUGAGAUUUUGGCAGUGCGGCUAAACUCUUUGUUAAUAAUGUUUUUGUGUGUAAUUUAAAUACAUAAGCACUCGUCAAGUUUCAGGAGAAAACGGGUUAGAAUGGAGAAGUUACGCGAUCAUUAGUAUUCACUUAAGUGAAUACUAACUCUGGUUUUUCGGAGAAGCCACAGAGUAGAGUUAGCUUCUGGCGCGUAUCGGACUUCGUUCAUAGCAGUCCAAUAGCUCAUUUCGAACGAUUCAGCUAUUUUGGAACUAUUGGCGCUGACGGAUUUUGGGUUUGAUGCACGAAUUUCGAGAAAAUCUGAAAAUACAUGUUUUAUAUGUAUUUGUGUGUCACUUGUCUUUUGGAGAGAGAGAACAAAUUUCGCCCCGAAUUCGUGACCGAUCGAGGCGAAAUGAAAUGGUGAGUUUGUUGUCUCCGUUGUGCUGAUCGCACUAGCGUGAUCCGUUCGCAAAUCUGACGAACGGAUCUGCAGAUAUCGCGCAUUGAUUGAGGUGAGGUCGGUGUCACGCCCCGGGACCCAGUGGAAGCCCGCCCGGCACGUGCCCAGACCCGCCAUACGUCUAAAACGUAUAAGGCGUCUAAAAACAACAGUAAUAAAAGCAAUAAUAAAAGGCAACUAGGAGUAUCAGAGCAUAAUAAAGGUCUAAAUGCUACAACAAAGGAUAAGGAUAAAACUGUAAAUCCACUAAUAAAAGCAUAAAGUGAUACAAGAAAAUCCCAGAUACAAAUGCUAUNCCGAAAUACUUAUUUAUCUCCGAAAUUCAUUCCAACGCAUCACAAAUCACUCGAGGAUGAUGUCCAACUAGCUCAAUCCUCACUUUGACCCUCUAGGUCAAAGUUGACAUCGCAAUUCCAAGUUUCCAUAUGUUACAUGGCGGGUCUGGGCACGCGCCGGGCGGGCUUCCGCUGGGUCCCGGGGCGUGACAAUACAUGGAUACAAAAACCUCUCACUCUCUCAACUACAAAAAGAAAGAGUAGACCACCUAGGCAAAGUACCGCUCCUCGCUAGCUAGCUAAGCGAUCCCCUUGCCGCGAUCCCAUGCCUCCGCCGGUGCCGAAGGCUCUGAAAAGUAAACCACAAAACAGGGGCGUGAGAACUAUUAAAAAUAGUUCCCAGUGGGCAAUUACUGACUUCAGUGAAUGCACCACAAGGCCCAAAGCUACAAAAGAUGACAGUGACUAUAGAUGUAGAAAAGUGAAAGGUAAGUAACAAUAUAACUUACUACAACAUGAUAUCUCUACUUAGCAUAAAUAGCAUAAGUAUGAAAGCAAGUAUGCAUGAGGUAAAAGUCUCCAACUAUCAUGAUGUUCACAAUGCGAAAUAGUAAAGUUCCGUUGUUUACUAUUCUAGUCAAUGUCCAAGUAGUACACUAGGUUAUCAUCUGUCCACAUGUCAUAAUGAAUACUCAAAGUCAAAUCUGAAGAGACCCACCCGAAGGCUGUCUAUGGCCCUGAGACCCACCCGUAGGCUGUCUGGCCGGUGCCGAGCCUAAUGGCCCCGUGGUAGUCAUCAUCCCCACCCUAGGAAUGAGCCUGGCCCACGGCAAUCCACUUCGGCGCCCAAUCCCGCACGGCGAGUAUGAAUCGCGAUGUCUAUCUCCGGAGUGCCGGCUUGUAGGGAGCGACCCUCACAAGCAUGUGCGAAUGAGCACAAUGGCAAGUAGGUAAACGAUCUGUCGCAAGUACCAAGUCCUCAUGUCUAAUAACAUGGAAUGUGUCAAGUAUCUCAAUGGCCUAUCCCUAAGUCAUCAUGUCUCUAACAUGGAAUAUAGCGGAUAUGUAGUGGCCUAUCAAUAUAUCUCUAUGUUGCAGUUUCAUAGUUUACUAGUUUCAAGUGCCCCUUGAUGACACUCUUGUUCUCUAUGUCAAAGUAUGACAACUAUGUUCCAAGGUACGUAUUCCAAGUCAUAAUCCUCAUAAGUGAUGUAUCUUCCACUUGCAAAAUAAACACUUUUCCCAUAUGCAUGCAUUCUACUCAUAUAGCUCUACUAUAUAGUGAAAUUUUCAUAAUACACAAGGCAUGCAUUUUAAGUGCUCUAAAAUUCAUAUAAAUUCCAUUUAGCAUAGAAAUGAAUUUAAAAAUAUUUUACAACAAAUAGAAAUAGCAUAGGGGCCAUUUCGCCCCAUUUUCACGAAGCCAAACCCACCGUCGUCAACGAAAGCUUUCGUUUGCCACGACGAAGGCGUCCGCCACACUCCUAGUACCCUAAAGGUAUGAAAACAAGUGUCAUCUAGUCGAAACGAACGACGCUAAGUUCAAUCUUUAACCAUAUAGGGCUAGGGUUGAAGAAAAACUCACCGAUUACGAAGGAAGCUCUCUCGAUCUCCAAAUGGGAGCUAGAGUCCUUCCAAUCUAACCUAAACAAAGGUUCUAAACCCAUCAAUUUGGUUCCAAAGCCCUCAAAUCAAAAAAACCCCCAAAACUAACCCUAGAAUCCCAAUCUAGGGUUUCAUCUAGUAAAACCUAGAAAAACAUGUAUCAAGUAGGGAUUACAUGCUACCAACCUCAAGAGGGGCUUCAAUCCAAGCUCAAAACCAAGUAGGGUUGAAGUUUGAUCCUCCACAAAGCUCCAACCGCAAGCUCGAAGCCACCAAGGUGAGAAAAUGGGGAAAAGAUGAUACUCCAAAGUCUCCAAGCAAGCUCCCUCUCCUCUUCUUCUUCUUC